Molecule: small RNA, 77 nt
Filed under: Xanthomonas prunicola
Lineage: Bacteria; Pseudomonadati; Pseudomonadota; Gammaproteobacteria; Lysobacterales; Lysobacteraceae
Description: sX9 sRNA
Rfam family: Xanthomonas sRNA sX9
Source: RNAcentral
AUGUACCACGCGUACGCUGCGGCUCUCAGCGCGCCGUCCACACCCGCCUGACGACUGCUCGCCACUUUUUGUUAGCC